Non-coding RNA from Rattus norvegicus (Norway rat), 1050 nucleotides. The record is from RefSeq and is a predicted model, not a curated record. Lineage: Eukaryota; Metazoa; Chordata; Mammalia; Rodentia; Muridae.
UUGCUGUGUUGUACAGAUCAACCGACCACUACCCUAAGGUCCUGGUGACUCUUAGUCCUGUCCCUGCCUGGCUGCAGCAGAGCUGUUUGCUGCCCUGGUCCCCUCCUGUUGUAUGAACACAGAGAUCAGCUGAGAGGCAGGACUGAGAACCAGCAUGGCUGACAGACUGACACAGUUUCUUCUCCUACAAGCUAGCAGAGUAAAGCCUAAUCACCAGUCAGAUCUCAGUACAACCAUGAGGACCCCCUCCAUCAUCAACUCUGCAGACCCCACAGCUGGCCUGGAGAACAUAAGGGGCCAAAGGAAUCCUUCACUGCUGAACCUGGGGGGCAUCAUUGGGAUGGUCAUGGCCAAAGUUGUAGUCAUCAUCCCCCUCUACGGAUGGAUGAUCUUUCUGUAGUGGAAGCAAAGACAGGCUCUGCCUUCGAUUACCGUAAGUAGAAGUGAGAGGUGGAAAAGCAGCAGCCAGGGAAGCAGCAGAAGACAAACAAGAAUUCAAACCAUGAGACUGAAUCUGCAGGGUGCAGGAGCCAACACUGAAAGGAAGAACUAGAGAGCCAGAUUCCAGAAAGGCAAAAGUGAAAUAUGGUGUGAACAGAGCGAAGAAAGCAGAGAUGUGUCAAGAGGUCAGAGAAGAGGGAAGAAAAGAAAAGAGGAAGAAAUAGAAGUGGGCCAGCAGAGUAAAGCCUAAACCCCAGCCAGGCUCCGGAUGAGACAUCAUCCCUUCUUCCUCAACUAAGAGACCUCCCAGUGCUUGGAUCUCUCACCAAGGAGAUGAGUUUAUAUCAAAGUAGUCAUUGGUGAUCAGACACCCUGCAUCCCACAACCUCCCAUGUGAUUCUCUCUGGGAAUCAGAGCUCAUGGCUGCAGAAUUCUGCUGUGAAAGAUCACCAUACUUGGAUAACCCCCACUCCUGCUACAUGGUCUCUGAAACCCUCUGCUUGGAACCAACUUCAUCUCGUAUGUCUCUGGGCCUGAGAGCCUGACUGUGCUCUUUGUUCUCUGCUCAUGGACUUAUUGACACUUUCAAUAAAUACCUUACUUCCCGCA